GGGAUUGCCUCAGUAACGGCGAGUGAAGCGGCAACAGCUCAAAUUUGAAAUCUGACCCCUUCGGGGUCCGAGUUGUAAUUUGUAGAGAGUGUUUCGGGUGAGACCACGGUCUAAGUCCAUUGGAACAUGGCGUCAUAGAGGGUGAGAAUCCCGUAUGUGACUGUGGUUCGAACCCAUGUGAAGCCUCUUCGACGAGUCGAGUUGUUUGGGAAUGCAGCUCAAAAUGGGUGGUAAAUUUCAUCUAAAGCUAAAUACUGGCUGGAGACCGAUAGCGCACAAGUAGAGUGAUCGAAAGAUGAAAAGCACUUUGGAAAGAGAGUCAAACAGUACGUGAAAUUGUUGAAAGGGAAGCGCUUGCAACCAGACCUGUCCGUAGGUGAUCAGCCGCUGUUCUCAGUGGUGCACUCGCUCUGCGAUCAGGCCAGCAUCGGUUUCGGCGGUCGGAUAAAGGCCUUGGGAAUGUAGCUUCCCUUCGGGGGAGUCUUAUAGCCCUCGGUGCAAUGCGGCCAGCCGGGACCGAGGACCGCGCUUCGGCUAGGAUGCUGGCGUAAUGGUUGUAA
Molecule: ribosomal RNA, 560 nt
Filed under: Montanelia panniformis
Lineage: Eukaryota; Fungi; Ascomycota; Lecanoromycetes; Lecanorales; Parmeliaceae
Description: eukaryotic LSU rRNA
Rfam family: Eukaryotic large subunit ribosomal RNA
Source: RNAcentral